This 88-nucleotide transfer RNA is filed under the name Lactobacillus delbrueckii. Its description in RNAcentral is "tRNA-Ser". It matches the Rfam family "tRNA". From Rfam's summary of the family: Transfer RNA (tRNA) molecules are approximately 80 nucleotides in length. Their secondary structure includes four short double-helical elements and three loops (D, anti-codon, and T loops). Further hydrogen bonds mediate the characteristic L-shaped molecular structure. tRNAs have two regions of fundamental functional importance: the anti-codon, which is responsible for specific mRNA codon recognition, and the 3' end, to which the tRNAs corresponding amino acid is attached (by aminoacyl-tRNA synthetases). tRNAs cope with the degeneracy of the genetic code in two manners: having more than one tRNA (with a specific anti-codon) for a particular amino acid; and 'wobble' base-pairing, i.e. permitting non-standard base-pairing at the 3rd anti-codon position. The record is from RNAcentral. Lineage: Bacteria; Bacillati; Bacillota; Bacilli; Lactobacillales; Lactobacillaceae. RNAcentral also lists the same sequence under 7 other names.
GGAGUAGUACUCAAGUGGCUGAAGAGGCGCCCUUGCUAAGGGUGUAGGUCGGGAAACUGGCGCCAGAGUUCGAAUCUCUGCUACUCCG